GCCUCCUUGGCUCAGUUGGCUAGAGCGCAGGUCUCAUACGAAAGUGUGAUCGAGCAUUCGCUUGAGAAAUCCUGAGGUCGCAAGUUCGAGCCUUGCAGGGGGCA
Molecule: transfer RNA, 104 nt
Organism: Cylindrobasidium torrendii FP15055 ss-10
Lineage: Eukaryota; Fungi; Basidiomycota; Agaricomycetes; Agaricales; Physalacriaceae
Rfam family: tRNA
About the family: Transfer RNA (tRNA) molecules are approximately 80 nucleotides in length. Their secondary structure includes four short double-helical elements and three loops (D, anti-codon, and T loops).
Source: Rfam